This is a non-coding RNA of Heterocephalus glaber (naked mole-rat), 271 nucleotides long. The record is from Rfam. Lineage: Eukaryota; Metazoa; Chordata; Mammalia; Rodentia; Bathyergidae.
UGGCGCCCAACGUGGGGCCCGAGAACGGGGGAUCCAGUGAAGAACGGCUGCUCGGGGCCCAAUAAAAUAGAAAAAAGAGGAUUGCGUUUGACGUGAACCUGCCAUCUUUCCUGCACCUCAGUGAGUUAAGCAGCAAUUAUGGGACAGGAGAUUAGCCAACAUGAGUUGUUUGUAGAAGAUCUAAAAAAAAAAACUUUACAGGCACGAGGGGUAAAGGUUACAGUCAAACAGUUGUUAAAAUAUUUUGAUUAUAUUAGAGAUCUCUGCCCUU